RNAcentral lists this long non-coding RNA (303 nucleotides) under Elaeis guineensis (African oil palm). RNAcentral describes it as "long non-coding RNA (EGUI_LNC049175)". Lineage: Eukaryota; Viridiplantae; Streptophyta; Magnoliopsida; Arecales; Arecaceae. The record is from RNAcentral.
CUAUCUUCUAACUCCUCAAUAGUUAGUUUUUUUAUUCAUUUUGCUUUGUCUAGAUAUUUUUAUAAUAGGAUUAUUUAUAAUGUGAUUAACUAUCAGAUCUGAAUAAGUUAAAUUUCUCACCCAUUUUAGAUUUCAGUGGUUCGGCAAGAGAUCUAGGGAUGCUAGCCCUAGAGAUGACACCAACAGUUUAUUUAUGACUUACCACCCUAAAUCCUUCCCCGACUAAAGCAAAAUUUACCGUGCUUGCUAUCCGAUCUACUCUCUUUGUGACUUACCAUCCUAAAUGCCUUUUUUGGUUAAAGC